GGAAGUAAGAGUCGUAACAAGGUUUCCGUAGGUGAACCUGCGGAAGGAUCAUUCAUAAUAAGUGUUUUACUGCACUUUUUAAAAAUAGUACUCACCUUGUGUGCAAUGUUGUGUUUCUUUUCGGAGAAACACCUACACCAACCUAUAACCUUGAACCACUUUGUCUGAAAAACUAUUAUGAGUACUUAAUUCAAAAUACAACUUUCAACAACGGAUCUCUUGGCUCUC
Molecule: unclassified non-coding RNA, 228 nt
Filed under: plant metagenome
Description: partial contains small subunit ribosomal RNA, internal transcribed spacer 1, and 5.8S ribosomal RNA
Rfam family: Eukaryotic small subunit ribosomal RNA (bases 1-54)
Source: RNAcentral